RNAcentral lists this long non-coding RNA (413 nucleotides) under Androctonus crassicauda. The record is from RNAcentral. Lineage: Eukaryota; Metazoa; Arthropoda; Arachnida; Scorpiones; Buthidae.
GGUAUAUGAUUAUUAGAGACGGCGGGACCGGGGGGAUGGUGUUGCUGGGGGAGCGGGAUUGUGAUGCGUGCCUCUGUGGCUAUAUACGUGCGUCUGGCCCCGGGGUCUUGGAUGGGGACCCGACGCCCUGCCUUGGAGCUGCUGUGCAUAGAUUGGCAUCGCACCCGCAGUUUCCCCGGCGGUGGAGGCGUGGAGAGGUGCAGGCGCCGGCGUGCCCCAGGCUUUUCGCCUGCCUUGGGAUGCAUGGGCGCCCGGUCGAGCCGUGACCCAUAGUUGAGGGGUGUGGUGCCCCGACCUAUCAUCUGGAGAGGGCCGUUGCUAGCUGGAGCAUGGCGGUGUUGGGCCGGAUGGAGAAUUCUGCCACCACCACCAACGAAGUUUUGCGCAGAAUGGGAAUGAUUGCCUGGCGGUCC